This 497-nucleotide ribosomal RNA is filed under the name uncultured bacterium. Its description in RNAcentral is "partial 16S ribosomal RNA". It matches the Rfam family "Bacterial small subunit ribosomal RNA", at positions 28 to 507 of the family's 1533-position model. The record is from RNAcentral.
GAUGAACGCUGGCGGCGUGCCUAAUACAUGCAAGUCGAGCGAACAGAUGAGGAGCUUGCUCCUCUGACGUUAGCGGCGGACGGGUGAGUAACACGUGGAUAACCUACCUAUAAGACUGGGAUAACUUCGGGAAACCGGAGCUAAUACCGGAUAAUAUAUUGAACCGCAUGGUUCAAUAGUGAAAGACGGUUUUGCUGUCACUUAUAGAUGGAUCCGCGCCGCAUUAGCUAGUUGGUAAGGUAACGGCUUACCAAGGCAACGAUGCGUAGCCGACCUGAGAGGGUGAUCGGCCACACUGGAACUGAGACACGGUCCAGACUCCUACGGGAGGCAGCAGUAGGGAAUCUUCCGCAAAGGGCGAAAGCCUGACGGAGCAACGCCGCGUGAGUGAUGAAGGUCCUCGGAUCGUAAAACUCUGUUAUUGGGGAAGAACAAAUGUGUAAGUAACUAUGCACGUCUUGACGGUACCUAAUCAGAAAGCCACGGCUAACUACGUG